This 393-nucleotide ribosomal RNA is filed under the name uncultured bacterium. Its description in RNAcentral is "partial 16S ribosomal RNA". It matches the Rfam family "Bacterial small subunit ribosomal RNA", at positions 523 to 918 of the family's 1533-position model. The record is from RNAcentral.
AUACGUAGGUGACAAGCGUUAUCCGGAUUUACUGGGCGUAAAGGGCGUGUAGGCGGUCUUGCAAGUCAGAAGUGAAAUUCCUGAGCUCAACUCGGGCGCUGCUUCUGAAACUGCAGGACUUGAGUGCUGGAGGGGAUAGCGGAAUUCCUAGUGGAGCGGUAAAAUGCGCAGAUAUUAGGAAGAACACCGGUGGCGAAGGCGGCUAUCUGGACAGUAACAGACGCUGAGGCGCGAAAGCGUGGGGAGAAAACAGGAUUAGAUACCCUGGUAGUCCACGCCGUAAACGAUGAUGGCUAACCGCUGGUUUAUUCGGAUCAGCGGCCAAGCGAAAGCGAUAAGCCAUCCACCUGGGGAGUACGACCGCAAGGUUGAAACUCAAAGGAAUUGACUGGG